RNAcentral lists this long non-coding RNA (241 nucleotides) under Mytilus galloprovincialis (Mediterranean mussel). The record is from RNAcentral. Lineage: Eukaryota; Metazoa; Mollusca; Bivalvia; Mytilida; Mytilidae.
GUAUUGUUAUGCGUUUACUUUUCUGCAUUGGCUAGAGGUAUAGGGGAGGGUUGAGAUCUCAUAAACAUGUUUAACCCCGCCGCAUUUUUGCGGCUGUCCCAUGUCUGGAGCCUCUGGCCUUUGUUAGUCUUGUAUUAUUUUAACUUUUAGUUUCUUGUGUACAAUUUGGAGUUUAGUAUGGUGUUCAUUAUCACGGAACCAGUAUAUAUUUGUUUAGGGGCUAGCUGAAGGACGCCUCCGG